GAAAUGCGAUACUUGGUGUGAAUUGCAGAAUCCCGUGAACCAUCGAGUCUUUGAACGCAAGUUGCGCUCCUCGGAAUACCAAGGAGCGCAAGAUGCGUUCAAAGAUUCGAUGAUUCACUGAAUUCUGCAAUUCACAUUACUUAUCGCAUUUCGCUGCGUUCUUCAUCGAUGCGUGCGUAACAGAA
This 185-nucleotide unclassified non-coding RNA is filed under the name uncultured Agaricomycetes. RNAcentral describes it as "sequence contains ITS1". The stretch from base 1 to 100 matches the Rfam family "5.8S ribosomal RNA", at positions 50 to 154 of the family's 154-position model. Rfam says of the family: 5.8S ribosomal RNA (5.8S rRNA) is a component of the large subunit of the eukaryotic ribosome. Lineage: Eukaryota; Fungi; Basidiomycota; Agaricomycetes. The record is from RNAcentral.